Molecule: long non-coding RNA, 715 nt
Organism: Xiphophorus maculatus (southern platyfish)
Lineage: Eukaryota; Metazoa; Chordata; Actinopteri; Cyprinodontiformes; Poeciliidae
Exons: 5
Source: RefSeq, a predicted model, not a curated record
GACAAGCAGAAACAUUUAGACAGAAACGUCUCUGGGUGAAGAGGAAGAAUGAAAAAGCACUGAAGGCAUGAACUGUUGGCACCCAUUUUAGUCUAGUAAUCAGACUGGAAUUAUGAGGAAAUGUAGACACCUGGUGUUAGAGGAAACAGUGUUUCAUGACAGAUACCGGAGAUCCUUGGAUGAACCCUGGUUACUGAUUAACAUCCAUGUAGAUGACUUACGGUUUUAUAUAUACAUAAACUGUCUUUUACAGAGAGCAUUCUGCUGUAAGGAAAGCCAACUACCUGAGGAUAACAUGAGAACUAAGAAACCAUGACCAUACCCUUCCUGAGGACUCGCUUCUUGGCUCUGAUGUCUGUCUCGAGCUCAGCUGCUCUAAUGUAGAUGCGGACAGACUGCGGUUUCUAGCCACCUGCAGCUUGCCUGUCACCUCCUCCAGCCUGGCAGAAGCAAUCCACGCAGGUGGAUGGUGGGGGUUGGUCUCUCUCACUGACUUCAGCAGCAGCCGAGCCUUUUUAAUGUCACUGGACACACAGCCAAAAAGUGGGAAUCAUGGAGUUGAGAUCUGUAAGGUAACCCUUGGGAUCAACAACAGUCUGUCCACUGACUGAAUCAGAAACCUGGAAGAAACCUCAUCAUAGUUGGUGUCGUUCAGGUCUUCAUCAUCAUCAUCCUGAUUCUUUUUCAUCUGGUCCCCAACCGUCCUUUUCCCCGG